Sinocyclocheilus anshuiensis is the source of this 118-nucleotide ribosomal RNA. NCBI's taxonomy places the organism in Eukaryota, Metazoa, Chordata, Actinopteri, Cypriniformes, Cyprinidae. The record is from Ensembl.
GUCGGUACGCCAUAUCACCCUGUAGCCCAAGACUGGUUGCCCACUGAAGCUAAGCAGGGUUGAGCCUGGUUAGUACCUGGAUGGGAGACCUACUAGUAAAGCUAGGUUGCUGUUGGAA